Molecule: ribosomal RNA, 489 nt
Filed under: uncultured bacterium
Lineage: Bacteria
Description: bacterial SSU rRNA
Rfam family: Bacterial small subunit ribosomal RNA
Source: RNAcentral
GAUGAACGCUAGCGGCAGGCUUAACACAUGCAAGUCGAGGGGUAUUGGUUUUCGGACCAAGAGACCGGCGCACGGGUGCGUAACGCGUAUGCAAUCUACCUUUGCAGAGGGAUAGCCCAGAGAAAUUUGGAUUAAUACCUCAUAGUAUAGUACUUUGGCGUCAAGGAACUAUUAAAGUCACAACGGCAAAAGAUGAGCAUGCGUCCCAUUAGCUAGUUGGUAAGGUAACGGCUUACCAAGGCUACGAUGGGUAGGGGUUCUGAGAGGGAGAUCCCCCCACACUGGUACUGAGACACGGACCAGACUCCUACGGGAGGCAGCAGUGAGGAAUAUUGGACAAUGGGCGCAAGCCUGAUCCAGCCAUGCCGCGUGCAGGAUGACGGUCCUAUGGAUUGUAAACUGCUUUUAAUACAGGAAGAAACACUCCGACGUGUCGGAGCUUGACGGUACUGUAAGAAUAAGGAUCGGCUAACUCCGUGCCAGCAGCCG